This 274-nucleotide ribosomal RNA is filed under the name uncultured bacterium. Its description in RNAcentral is "partial 16S ribosomal RNA". It matches the Rfam family "Bacterial small subunit ribosomal RNA", at positions 523 to 796 of the family's 1533-position model. The record is from RNAcentral.
CUACGGAGGGAGCAAGCGUUGUUCGGAAUCACUGGGCGUAAAGCGAGUGUAGGUUGUCAGGUAAGUAGGAUGUGAAAGCCCGGGGCUCAACCCCGGAAUUGCAUUCUAAACUGCCUGGCUAGAGUCCCGGAGAGGGAGGUGGAAUUCCGAGUGUAGAGGUGAAAUUCGUAGAUAUUCGGAGGAACACCAGAGGCGAAGGCGACCUCCUGGACGGUGACUGACACUGAGACUCGAAAGCGUGGGGAGCAAACAGGAUUAGAAACCCGGGUAGUCC